This 327-nucleotide ribosomal RNA is filed under the name Triticum aestivum (bread wheat). RNAcentral's name for it is "partial small subunit ribosomal RNA". Lineage: Eukaryota; Viridiplantae; Streptophyta; Magnoliopsida; Poales; Poaceae. The record is from RNAcentral.
AUGCAACACAUCAUCAUUGGCUGCCCUUUCUCUCAGCAGAUUUGGCAUGACAUACUUGCCUGGGUUCAUGCUACUACUCCACCCCCUUCUGGAGAUGGUGCCUUCCUUCCCUGGUGCUCGGCCACAAUCAGGGGAUCCCCCACCGGCCACCGCAAGGGCCUCGCCACAUUGGCGGUGCUCACGGCGUGGUCCAUUUGGCGUCACCACAACAAUUGCAUUUUCGACGGCGAGAACCCCUCCUCCUCACGACUCAUCACAUUGAUCCAGGAGGAGGCCCGUGCCUGGGCUAGUGCAGGCGCGCACGGACUUGGUGCUUUGAUAACAUAG